RNAcentral lists this long non-coding RNA (672 nucleotides) under Mus caroli (Ryukyu mouse). Its description in RNAcentral is "lncRNA (MGP_CAROLIEiJ_G0006863.1)". The record is from RNAcentral. Lineage: Eukaryota; Metazoa; Chordata; Mammalia; Rodentia; Muridae.
GGCAAAUGUUGACAAGAACUUGCCUAUCAACCACGGAAUAGAGACCAGCUUGAGACUCAAGAGACCUUCCACUCCGAUAUUCUUAACUGGCCUUCAGACUCCAUCAUCCAGUGAGUACAAGAGAGACUUCAGUCUGUCUCAGGUAAGAUUAUCUUUUGUUUUCUUCUAAGUAAGAGCAGUUUCGAGAUAAAGAUGAGAUUGAGUUUAUCCUCCAGUAACUCUGACCUGUUGCCUUGAGUACCACUGUCAGGUUCCCAGACGGUUUUUAUGUGUUCACUGGUUUGGGGUGCCUUUUCUGUGAUUGGGGUUCCUCUCUUGUGUUCCAGUGCUAGUGAUCCCUUUGGGUAGGGUCACAUAUCAGCUAUCCUGCACAUCAGAUAUUUACAUUAUGAUUCAUAACCAUAGCAAAAUGACAGUUAUGAGGCAGCAAUGAAAAUAAUUUUAUGGUUGGGGGUCGCCACAACAUGAAGAACUUAAGGGCCACAGAAAUAGGAAGGUUGAGAGCUGCUUUUUUAGAAGAAAGAGCUGAGGAAACAUUUGUGGACGAACUUGCCUCAGUACUGUCUGUGUCUCAAAUCUAUGCCUUCAGAGAACCUUGACGUCAUCGCAAAACUAUUGGUAGAACUGGUUUGUGCACAGUUCUUCAUACUUGUACCAGAAAUACACAUGAGA